CGAAAUUCAAGGACUGGGAGAGUAUCUGUUAACUGACGUCAAAGCGAGCCGGGGCGGUGAAAGCCGGUACUGCGUUAACAGGGAAACGGACCCACGAGAAUGGCUUCUGAACGCUUAUAGUAGGAGGCCACGGCUAAAAACCGUUAUUUUGCUAAAGUGGUUAAACAGAUGUUUAACAACAAGAGUGGUACCGCGAAUGCUUAAGCCUUCGUCUCUUUU
This 219-nucleotide non-coding RNA is filed under the name Bacillus sp. (in: firmicutes). RNAcentral describes it as "Bacillus sp. T-box sequence". It matches the Rfam family "T-box leader". From Rfam's summary of the family: Uncharged tRNA acts as the effector for transcription antitermination of genes in the T-box leader family. The record is from RNAcentral. Lineage: Bacteria; Bacillati; Bacillota; Bacilli; Caryophanales; Bacillaceae.